This 100-nucleotide non-coding RNA is filed under the name Compsopogon caeruleus. Lineage: Eukaryota; Rhodophyta; Compsopogonophyceae; Compsopogonales; Compsopogonaceae. The record is from RNAcentral.
GAUCUUGAUGACACCAACAUCGACUCUUUCCUCAAUGAUCUAAAAGCUCAAUAAUCGACGUGAGAAAUAAAACAACAACGCCAUAAUCUAAAUACCUCGC